Molecule: long non-coding RNA, 720 nt
Filed under: Rattus norvegicus (Norway rat)
Lineage: Eukaryota; Metazoa; Chordata; Mammalia; Rodentia; Muridae
Description: long non-coding RNA NONRATT006066
Source: RNAcentral
CCACUUAGCUUAAAUGUGACUGCAGGGGAUCUGACCCUGGGUUCUUAACCCUUGCAGGGCAGACACUUUAACCUAAUGAACCAUCUUCUCAGCCCUUCUUUGUGAUGUUAAGAGCUGAUCCCAAGGCCUUACCACUAAUUAGUACAUCUCCCUCCCCCCACUUUUUUUUCUUUCCUUUUUUUUUUUUUUUUUUGCUUCAUAGACCAGGCUGGAAUUACUUUGUAGCCCAGGCUAUCAGGCUAUCCUGGAACUCAUAUCCCUCCAGCCUUUGCCUCCCAAGUGCUGGGAUUACUGGCAUGCACCACCACACCCAGCUUCAUAUCUCUUCGGAAAUACUCUGGGCCAGGAAUAUAAUGCUGGCAUAGACACACAGAUACAACCAGGCAUCCUGAAACCGUGGCUCUCAGUUCCUAGCGCCUCAGUGACUAUUUUGUGAGUUAAUGAUUGUGUACUGCCGUUGAUUUCCUUCCGGGUGACAUGCUGCUACUGCACUUUACUCUCGUGUUCACGGUUAAGGUUAGCCAGGGGACACAGGCAACCACUUGGCACAUUAAACAACAGUGGGUUCUGAUGGGGGAGCGUCCCCCCGGCCACACACUGUCUCUCUCCUUGCAGGAUGAACAGCAGCAAGAGAUGGCCGCCUCUGCUGCCUUCAUUGAUCAGCACUACGGACACCUGAUAGACACCGUGCUCGUACGGCAGGACCUGCAGAGUGUCUGC